RNAcentral lists this ribosomal RNA (489 nucleotides) under uncultured bacterium. RNAcentral describes it as "partial 16S ribosomal RNA". It matches the Rfam family "Bacterial small subunit ribosomal RNA", at positions 30 to 507 of the family's 1533-position model. The record is from RNAcentral.
UUGAGCGCUGGCGGCCGGCCUAACACAUGCAAGUCGAACGGUAACAGGAAGAAGCUUGCUUCUUUGCUGACGAGUGGCGGACGGGUGAGUAAUGUCUGGGAAACUGCCUGAUGGAGGGGGAUAACUACUGGAAACGGUAGCUAAUACCGCAUAACGUCGCAAGACCAAAGAGGGGGACCUUCGGGCCUCUUGCCAUCGGAUGUGCCCAGAUGGGAUUAGCUAGUAGGUGGGGUAACGGCUCACCUAGGCGACGAUCCCUAGCUGGUCUGAGAGGAUGACCAGCCACACUGGAACUGAGACACGGUCCAGACUCCUACGGGAGGCAGCAGUGGGGAAUAUUGCACAAUGGGCGCAAGCCUGAUGCAGCCAUGCCGCGUGUAUGAAGAAGGCCUUCGGGUUGUAAAGUACUUUCAGCGGGGAGGAAGAGAGUAAAGUUAAUACCUUUACUCAUUGACGUUACCCGCAGAAGAAGCACCGGCUAACUCCGUG